GUGAAAACCCAUCUCUAUAAAAAAUACAGAAAUUAGCUGGGUGCGGUGGCACAUGGCUGUAGUCCCAGCUACUUGGCAGGUAGCUGAAGUGGGAGGAUCACUUGAGCCUGGGAGGUUGAGGCUGCGGUGAGCCAAGAUUGAGCCACUGCACUCCAGCCUGGGUGACAAAGAAAGACCCUGUCGAAGAAGAAGAAGCAGCAGCAGCAGAAAAAGAAGAAGAAGAAGAAGCAGAAGAAGCAGAAGAAGAAGCAGAAGAAGAAGAAGCAGAAGAAGAAGAAGAAGAAACAAAGGGGAGGAUGCAACUUGGAGAGCUACUCCAAGCUCCAGAGCCAGCCACGGAGCACUCCUGGAACUCUUUGCAGGAUCCAUCUCGAAGUUCUGACUCCCAGCAGAGAAACAACACUGGCCCAGCCCCUAGGAGAAAGCCUAACUGCAGUAAAGGAGUCCUGGAGACAGGACAAGAAUGAAGUCAAUGAAGCAUAGCAGGAGUGGAGAUAAAGACGCGCAUGAAAUUUGGUGCUGUGACUCGGAUUGGGGGACCUCCCUUGGGAGAUCAAUCCCCUGUACUCCUGUUCUUUGCUCCGUGAGAAAGAUCCACCUAUGAUCUCAGGUCCUCAGACCGACCAGCCCAAGGAACAUCUCACCAAUUUUAAAUCAGGUAAGCGGCCUCUUCUUACUCUCUUCUCCAACCUCUCUCACUGUCCCUCAACCACUUUCUCCUUUCCACUCUUCAAUCUCUCCCUUCUCUUAAUUUCAAUUCCUUUCAUUUUCUGGUAGAGACAAAGGAGACACGUUUUAUCCGUGGACCCAAAACUCCGGCGCCAGUCACGGACUGGGAAGGCAGCCUUCCCUUGGUGUUUAAUCAGUGCAGGGACGCCUCUCUGAUUAUACACCCACGUUUCAAGGGUGUCAGACCACGCAGGGACGCCUGCCUUGGUCCUUCAACCUCAGCGGCAAGUCCCGCUUUUCUGGGGUAGGGGCAAGUAGCUCAACCCCUUCUCUCCUUGUCUCUACCCCUUCUCUGCUUUUCUGGGAGAGGGGCAAGUACCCCUCAACCCCUUCUCCUUCACCCUUAGCGGCAAGUCCCGCUUUCCUAGGGGGCAAGAAGCCCCCAAUAGCUUAUUUCCGCACCCCAACCUCUUAUCUCUGUGCCCCAAUCCCUUAUUUCCGCACCCUGACCUCUUAUCUCUGUGCCCCAAUCCCUUAUUUCCGUGCCCCAACUCCUUCUCUGCUUUUCUGGAGGGCAAGAACCCCCCACCCCUUCUCCGUGUCUCUACUCUUCUCUGGGCUUGCCUCCUUCACUAUGGGUAAGCUUCCACCUUCCAUUCCUCCUUCUUCUCCCUUAGCCUGUGUUCUCAAAAACUUAAAACCUCUUCAACUCACACCUGACCUAAAACCUAAAUGCCUUAUUUUCUUCUGCAAUGCCGCUUGACCCCAAUACAAACUCGACAGUAGUUCCAAAUAGCCAGAAAAUGGCACUUUGAAUUUUUCCAUCCUGCAAAAUCUAAAUAAUUCUUGUCAUAAAAUAGGCAAACGAUCUGAGGUGCCUGACGUCCAGGCAUUCUUUUACACAUCAGUCCCGUCCUAGUCUCUGUGCCCAGUGCAACUCGUCCCAAAUCUUCCUUCUUUCCCUCCCGCCUGUCCCCUCAGUACCAACCCCAAGCGUCGCUGAAUCUUUCUAAUCUUCCUUUUCUACAGACCCACCUGACCUCUCCCUUCCUCCCAGGCUGCUCCUCGCCAGGCCGAGCUAGGUCCCAAUUCUUCCUCAGCCUCUGCUCCUCCACCCUAUAAUCCUUUUAUCACCUCCCCUCCUCACACCUGGUCCGGCUUACAGUUUCGUUCCGUGACUAGCCCUCCCCCACCUGCCCAGCAAUUUACUCUUAAAAAGGUGGCUGGAGCUAAAGGCAUAGUCAAGGUUAAUGCUCCUUUCUCUUUAUCCCAAAUCAGAAGCGUUUAGGCUCUUUUUCAUCAAAUAUAAAAAUCCAGCCCAGUUCAUGGCUCGUUCGGCAGCAACCCUGAGACACUUUACAGCCCUAGACCCUAAAAGGUCAAAAGGCCGUCUUAUUCUCAAAAUACAUUUUAUUACCCAAUCUGCUCCCAACAUUAAAUAAAACUCCAAAAAUUAAAUUCCGGCCCUCAAACCCCACAACAGGAUUUAAUUAACCUCGCCUUCAAGGUGUACCAUAAUAGAAAAAAGUUGCAAUUCCUUGCCUCCACUGUGAGACAAACCCCAGCCACAUCUCCAGCACACAAGAACUUCCAAACGCCUGAACCGCAGCGGCCAGGUGUUCCCCCAGAACCUCCUCCCCCAGGAGCUUGCUACACGUGCCGGAAAUCUGGCCACUGGGCCAAGGAAUGCCCGCAGCCCGGGAUUCCUCCUAAGCCGCGUCCCAUCUGUGCGGGACCCCACUGGAAAUCGGACUGUUCGACUCACCUGGCAGCCACUCCCAGAGCCCCUGGAACUCUGGCCCAAGGCUCUCUGACUGACUCCUUCCCAGAUCUUCUCGGCUUAGCGGCUGAAGACUGACGCUGCCCGAUCGCCUCAGAAGCCCCCUAGACCAUCACCGACGCUGAGCUUCGGGUAACUCUCACAGUGGAAGAUGAAGAAACUGGGGCUCUGAAUGGCAUAUUAACGCGUGCAGCUCCAGACAGCGAGGAAGUGAUGGCAACUCUAUCCGAACUCAAAUCUGCCAGACCUAUACCAGUAGGUGCCUGUGUGCAGUUGGGGACUCACCUCUGCCAGUGCUGGCAUGAGCUAGCUGUCUUGAACUGAAAACAGACACUCAAAGAUGGGCUGUGGGAUCCCAGAGAGGUGGCAGAAUGGUCAAAGCUAUGAAGCCAACAGCUGCUGCCAACAAGAAAGUCCUGAGCCCUGAGUGAUUGUAAUUUAAACUUAAUGCUGGGAGUGGGUGUUUAUUUUGGAGGAGUGGGCUGCUUAUUUUUGGUUUGGGGACUUGUUCAUUCAUCUUUUCUCAGCGGCGCCUACUGCUGCCCUGGCCCGAAGUUAAAGCUCAAUAAAUCACUGUUGCACAACUGAGUGCCCACGCCUAGAUUGUAAGUUCCUGGAAGGCAAGGAUUUGUGUCCCACACUUGUUUUGUACCCUCCAGGAUCUUGCACAGCACUUGGCGAAUGGGUAUUGAAUGAAUUCAUUCACUGAAGCGUCUCUCUGGUGCCAGGCCCAGUGCUAAGUGAUGGGAAUACACAGAUGAAUACGAUAUGGUCCCUGCUCUUGGGUAACUCAUUAUUCUGGUAAAUGAAUAAAGGAAA
This 3268-nucleotide long non-coding RNA is filed under the name Homo sapiens (human). RNAcentral describes it as "HSALNT0184451". The record is from RNAcentral. Lineage: Eukaryota; Metazoa; Chordata; Mammalia; Primates; Hominidae.